Molecule: unclassified non-coding RNA, 249 nt
Filed under: uncultured Pleosporales
Lineage: Eukaryota; Fungi; Ascomycota; Dothideomycetes; Pleosporales
Description: sequence contains 5.8S rRNA gene, ITS2, 28S rRNA gene
Source: RNAcentral
AACGCACAUUGCGCCCCUUGGUAUUCCAUGGGGCAUGCCUGUUCGAGCGUCAUUUGUACCCUCAAGCUCUGCUUGGUGUUGGGUGUUUGUCCUCUCUUUGCAUAGGACUCGCCUUAAAGCAAUUGGCAGCCGGCGUAUUGGCCUGGGAGCGCAGCACAUUUUGCGAUCUCUGUCAGAUUACGACGGCAUCCAUCAAGCCUUUUUAUCACUUUUGACCUCGGAUCAGGUAGGGAUACCCGCUGAACUUAA